UCCACUCACACUGGCUGCUCAAUGACCGC
Molecule: non-coding RNA, 29 nt
Filed under: Rattus norvegicus (Norway rat)
Lineage: Eukaryota; Metazoa; Chordata; Mammalia; Rodentia; Muridae
Source: RNAcentral